UGGGGAACGGGUGAGUAACACGUGGGCAACCUGCCCAAAAGAGGGGGAUAACACUUGGAAACAGGUGCUAAUACCGCAUAACCAUAGUUACCGCAUGGUAGCUAUGUAAAAGGUGGCUAUGCUACCGCUUUUGGAUGGGCCCGCGGCGCAUUAGCUAGUUGGUGGGGUAAAGGCUUACCAAGGCAAUGAUGCGUAGCCGAACUGAGAGGUUGAUCGGCCACAUUGGGACUGAGACACGGCCCAAACUCCUACGGAAGGCAGCAG
This 264-nucleotide ribosomal RNA is filed under the name uncultured bacterium. RNAcentral describes it as "partial 16S ribosomal RNA". It matches the Rfam family "Bacterial small subunit ribosomal RNA", at positions 96 to 354 of the family's 1533-position model. The record is from RNAcentral.